UUAGAAAUUGAAAACAAUAAUAUUUGCUUCUUAUUAUUAACUUAAUAGCAAGAUAUUACAGAUAAUUCAUGGUACAUACAACAGAAACAGAAGCAAUUAAAAUCUCACAAACAAAUCACAAGAUAACAUCAUAAUACUUAAAGGAAACAGAUAAAAAGGUGCAGAAUACAAGACACAAGCAGUAAAAGAGCAGACGAUGGAUGAUAGGUCUUAUUUAGAAUAUGUAACAUACUAUACAUAGCAUGACGCAUAAGACGUUGC
RNAcentral lists this long non-coding RNA (261 nucleotides) under Lathyrus oleraceus (garden pea). Its description in RNAcentral is "Pisum sativum (pea) long non-coding RNA (PSAT_LNC003043)". Lineage: Eukaryota; Viridiplantae; Streptophyta; Magnoliopsida; Fabales; Fabaceae. The record is from RNAcentral.